GGAACAAAGGAUUUUUUACGUGUUUCGUGUUGCUGUUUUUUCGACAACAUACCUGUCGACUGGAGUCCCUGGGGCCCGACUGCAUGGCCCAGGACGAGAUCACAUUAAAGCCUUUGACCACAGUGGAUUCUGGGAAGAGGGAUGCCAGAUAUUCUGCAUUUGACUCUGGAAACUGGUUCAGCCGUCUGUUGUUGCUGACGUCCACCAGUAUUUUUCCAGCCAGCAGGUGCUUGAUGUCCCAGAGGGUGGAAUAGUGCUCUCGGCGGAUGGCCAGGAACACGAUGUUGGCCUUUCCCAAUGCGUCCUCGUGAUGGGUCACGUCUACCACGUGCGGGAAGGAUUCUGCCGCUCUUUUGGGCUGUCGGCUGCCCACCACCACAUGGAAGCCACAGCGAAGCAGGCGGAGGGUCAAGCUUUUGGAGAAGUCGCCAGAGCCGAUGAUGCCAACCGUGGGCUUGCCGGAUCCCUCUUUGGAGCCAUUCUUCAGGCCAUUGGCUUGUCUCUGAUCUGAUGUGUGAAGACAGUCCUCUGCAAUGGGAAACACCUCUGGGUUGAUCUGCUUCAGUGCAGCGUCAGGACAGCAGCUCCAGGCCUCAGAACACAACAUCUUGUUCCUGACCAGAAUGGAGAAAGUCACUUACUGUGAGACGUGUGAUGCUGCAGACGGGCCUCGAGGAGGAGUGUGUGAGCACUCUUUAGCUGCAGCUUUGAGACCAGGAGUCAUCAUGCAUUUCUCUGAUGUGCUCUUUAUUUGGAUUGUGGCAUUGGGAACAUCUGAACUGAGCUCUGCAGGACCUCUUCAUGCACAGUGCAAAGUCGAGUGGUACUUCAGUCUGCCUUGCAGGAGUGUGUCUGAAUCUCUGGUCACACAGAUCAAGAAGUGGAGAACAUUCUCAACGUGCGCCACAGGAGGAGAGAAAUGUCUCUACAAGUUGCAGUCAGCAUCGACGCACUUCAUUUCCGCCAAACACACAACGCCAGUGAAGAAAUAUGUUGAUGACAUCAACUUCAGACUCACCUCCUAUGGGUUUUUUACACACUGUCAUGUAUCUGCCAUGUCAGUGUCAGAGACCUGGUAUGCCAUCACUGAUCACGGCACUAACUACUGUAACCUUUACAAUUUGAUUGAAGGAAGUGGAUUGACUGAAGCUCCAGGAUAUAAAGAAAUCACCAGUGACUUCCUGUGCACUCAGCGCUCAUCUGCUAACUGUACCAUUUACUGAGACAUCUUUAUAUAUAUUUUAAAAUCAUUUCUGGAUGUUUGUACCUGUAGUCUAGUAGAAUUAGAAAUAAGGUCAUGACAAUAGUCAUACAAUUGAAAAUAAAAGUACUUUUAAUCAACCUACGGUUUGUAAAAAUAAAAUGAGUCUGUUCUAAAUGUGCUUUACUGUACAUGUACACACAUAAAGCAUUCGUUGCAUUAUUCAUUUAUAUUCCUUAGCUUAGUCCCUUUGUUAAUC
This 1460-nucleotide long non-coding RNA is filed under the name Danio rerio (zebrafish). Its description in RNAcentral is "si:dkeyp-34b8.3 (ENSDARG00000097235.3)". The record is from RNAcentral. Lineage: Eukaryota; Metazoa; Chordata; Actinopteri; Cypriniformes; Danionidae.